RNAcentral lists this long non-coding RNA (246 nucleotides) under Brachypodium distachyon (stiff brome). Its description in RNAcentral is "long non-coding RNA (BDIS_LNC005472)". Lineage: Eukaryota; Viridiplantae; Streptophyta; Magnoliopsida; Poales; Poaceae. The record is from RNAcentral.
GCGGUACACAAAUGCGUUUACCGAACCAUAUGGUUCCUUGGUCAUCUUCACGAAAAUCCUUUGCUUUCUCGGCAACCAUAUUUUCUUUUAUUUCCUUUAUUUCUGAAUCGCUCUUUUGUGCUUUUCUAAUUCUGUCCAGCAAAGUGGGCUGUACUUCCAAUGUGGCCAGAUGUCCUUCUGGCACAAUCUCCAGUCUUAGGUCCUUGAACUGUUUGCUCAACUCUUGCGGUAACUCUCCUGCUGUCA